AAUCACGCCGGGUCAGCUCUUCCCAAAAAUCGGCCAUCUGAUAUAAACUUUUUCAAUAUAUUUCGGAUGGACAUGAAACUUGCUACAUCAAUAUAACUUUCCAUUCCGAACAAUCGUAUGUUUUUUUAUUUUUGAGAUUUAACGGUUUUUGGCGGGAAAAUGACGUCACGAAACCUCCAGUUAAAAUUUAUUUUCAAUAUCUUAAUAGUUUUUAAGCAGAAUGUGGAAGAUCAUGUCAUGAAGAGUUCAAAACUGAAAAGAGAUUUUAAAUAUCUUAAUUUAAUCACGAGAUACAGGGAGUUUAGAAUCGAAUUUUCCACCAUUUUGUUACUAUUUUUAGAUUUUUCACGGUUUUUAUAGUGAAAUAACUUUGGAUUAGGUUUAAAUAUUUAAAAUCCGUUUUCAGUUUUGAACUGUUCAUGACAUGUUCUUCCAAAUUCUGCGACAAAACUAUUAAGAUAUUGAAAGUAAAUUUUAACUGGAGGUUUCGUGACGUCAUUUUCCCGCCAAAAACCGUUAAAUCUCAAAAAUAAAAAACAUACGAUUGUUCGGAAUGGAAAGUUAUAUUGAUGUAGCAAGUUUCAUGUCCAUCCGAAAUAUAUUGAAAAAGUUUAUAUCAGAUGGCCGAUUUUUGGGAAGAGCUGACCCGGCGUGAAUUA
Molecule: non-coding RNA, 659 nt
Organism: Paramuricea clavata
Lineage: Eukaryota; Metazoa; Cnidaria; Anthozoa; Malacalcyonacea; Plexauridae
Source: the annotation of a GenBank genome assembly